RNAcentral lists this ribosomal RNA (253 nucleotides) under uncultured bacterium. RNAcentral's name for it is "partial 16S ribosomal RNA". It matches the Rfam family "Bacterial small subunit ribosomal RNA", at positions 524 to 776 of the family's 1533-position model. The record is from RNAcentral.
GACGAAGGGGGCUAGCGUUGUUCGGAAUUACUGGGCGUAAAGCGCGUGUAGGCGGUUAUCCAAGUCGGAUGUGAAAGCCUUGAGCUCAACUCAAGAAAUGCAUUCGGUACUGGGUGACUAGAGGACCGGAGAGGAUAGUGGAAUUCCCAGUGUAGUGGUGAAAUACGUAGAGAUUGGGAAGAACACCAGUGGCGAAGGCGGCUAUCUAGACGGUUUCUGACGCUAAGACGCGAAAGCGUGGGGAGCAAACAGG